GAUGAACGCUAGCGGCAGGCCUAAUACAUGCAAGUCGAACGGGAUCCAGAUCAAAGCUUGCUUUGGUCUGGUGAGAGUGGCGCACGGGUGCGUAACGCGUGAGCAACCUACCCUUGUCAGGGGGAUAGCCCGGCGAAAGUCGGAUUAAUACCGCAUGACAUCAUUGAGAGGCAUCUUUCGAUGAUCAAAGAUUUAUCGGACAAGGAUGGGCUCGCGUGACAUUAGCUAGUUGGUAAGGUAACGGCUUACCAAGGCUGCGAUGUCUAGGGGCUCUGAGAGGAAGAUCCACCACACUGGUACUGAGCCACGGACCAGACUCCUACGGGAGGCAGCAGUAAGGAAUAUUGGGCAAUGGACGGAAGUCUGAACCAGCCAUGCCGGGUGCAGGAGGACGGCCCUAUGGGUUGUAAACUGCUUUUAUACGGGAACAACCGUCGGUACGUGUACCGGUCUGAGUGUACCGUAAGAAUAAGGAUCGGCUAACUCCGUG
This 490-nucleotide ribosomal RNA is filed under the name uncultured bacterium. RNAcentral's name for it is "partial 16S ribosomal RNA". It matches the Rfam family "Bacterial small subunit ribosomal RNA", at positions 28 to 507 of the family's 1533-position model. The record is from RNAcentral.